This 64-nucleotide transfer RNA is filed under the name Mollitrichosiphum tenuicorpus. Its description in RNAcentral is "tRNA-Trp". Lineage: Eukaryota; Metazoa; Arthropoda; Insecta; Hemiptera; Aphididae. The record is from RNAcentral.
AAGAUUUUAAGUUAAUAUAAACUAUUAAUUUUCAAAAUUAAAAAUAUAAAAUAUUUAAAUCUUA